AUUGAACGCUGGCGGCAGGCUUAACACAUGCAAGUCGAGCGGAGAUGAGGUGCUUGCACCUUAUCUUAGCGGCGGACGGGUGAGUAAUGCUUAGGAAUCUGCCUAUUAGUGGGGGACAACAUUCCGAAAGGAAUGCUAAUACCGCAUACGCCCUACGGGGGAAAGCAGGGGAUCUUCGGACCUUGCGCUAAUAGAUGAGCCUAAGUCGGAUUAGCUAGUUGGUGGGGUAAAGGCCUACCAAGGCGACGAUCUGUAGCGGGUCUGAGAGGAUGAUCCGCCACACUGGGACUGAGACACGGACCAGACUCCUACGGGAGGCAGCAGUGGGGAAUAUUGGACAAUGGGCGGAAGCCUGAUCCAGCCAUGCCGCGUGUGUGAAGAAGGCCUUUUGGUUGUAAAGCACUUUAAGCGAGGAGGAGGCUACCUGGAUUAAUACUCUAGGAUAGUGGACGUUACUCGCAGAAUAAGCACCGGCUAACUCUGUGCCAGCCGCCGCGGUAA
Molecule: ribosomal RNA, 501 nt
Filed under: uncultured bacterium
Lineage: Bacteria
Description: partial 16S ribosomal RNA
Rfam family: Bacterial small subunit ribosomal RNA
Source: RNAcentral